UACGUAGGUGGCAAGCGUUGUCCGGAUUUACUGGGCGUAAAGGGUGUGUAGGCGGUUGUUUAAGUUUGGUGUGAAAUCUCCCGGCUCAACUGGGAGGGUGCGCCGAAUACUGAAUGACUUGGAGUGCGGGAGAGGAGAGUGGAAUUCCUGGUGUAGCGGUGAAAUGCGUAGAUAUCAGGAGGAACACCGGUGGUGUAGACGGCUCUCUGGACCGUAACUGACGCUGAGACACGAAAGCGUGGGUAGCAAACAGG
RNAcentral lists this ribosomal RNA (254 nucleotides) under uncultured bacterium. Its description in RNAcentral is "partial 16S ribosomal RNA". It matches the Rfam family "Bacterial small subunit ribosomal RNA", at positions 524 to 776 of the family's 1533-position model. The record is from RNAcentral.